Cucurbita pepo subsp. pepo (vegetable marrow) is the source of this 367-nucleotide non-coding RNA. The record is from RefSeq and is a predicted model, not a curated record. Lineage: Eukaryota; Viridiplantae; Streptophyta; Magnoliopsida; Cucurbitales; Cucurbitaceae.
CAUAAAAGGUAUAAAGCCACUUAACAGUAGAAAAUGCAGGCAGUAUCACAAUAAGUAGAGGGCUAUGUAUAAAGGCUGAUUCGAUCAGGUCAACUCGGUAGGAUUCCAAAAAUAUCGAGGCAUCGUUGACACUGCUAACAAAUUUUUGUUGCUGCUAAUAGAAAUUCUUUUCAUCAUUGUUUUCUGGGCGCACCUUGAUUAUUCCCAAUACAACUGUUUGCCCUUACUACGUUUAAUUGUCAAAGUAACUCGUAAGAUAUUAAAUUUUAUAUAGGUGUUAAUCCGUUCUCUCUAAAUUCUAUAUUAUUUACAUGGUCCUUGCUAAGCCAAAUCAGGGUGGUUCCUGAUCAUUUAGAAUAUACAAGAG